Molecule: long non-coding RNA, 1310 nt
Filed under: Lactuca sativa (garden lettuce)
Lineage: Eukaryota; Viridiplantae; Streptophyta; Magnoliopsida; Asterales; Asteraceae
Description: long non-coding RNA (LSAT_LNC008884)
Source: RNAcentral
UCGAACCACCGCCUCAAGUACCUCGAUAAUCGAUAUUCUCUCAAAUCCCUUUUCAUCUUUCUUUAGAGCUCGAUCGAUCGACAUGGCCUCGAUGGAAAAAAUGAGAACGUGCCCACCGGAAAAGGUAGCGGUCGUAGGAAAGGACUGCUGAAGAUACAAACACAGAAGAGACAUAACACGAUUUGUCUCGCUUUUCAAUCUCUCAUUUGCUGCGUAAUCUGCUUUAACCAAAGAGACGCUCCAUCGUCAAUGACGGCGUGUUGAUUCCUCAGUGUAUCCGACUCUCCAUUGUUCUCUCUCACCGUUACCGUCGACUUUACCUCAAGUGUUUUCGAGUUGUUGAGUUAGGCUUCCACAAAUACGCUCUGCGUUGUCUCUUUGCUCCUACUAACACUUUGAACUAAGGUAUUGUUACAGUUCUAUUUUCUCCUCUGUCCAUAGGGUCGUAUUCUCCAAUUUGCAAUGAACACGAAGGCACAAUCCGAUUUGGGUAUAACCACAGCCUAUAUGAACCCUAAUUUUUUAUUUUCGUUAUCUUACCCCUACUUGCUUCUAUGUUCUUGAUUUUGGAGUCGACCAAGACCGACCCUACCAGAAGAGUCGGUAUUGGAUUUGAUUUUGGGUGUUGAAGGCUUAAUUUGGGGUUUUUCAACACAUGUCUUAAACAUAAGCAGAUGGAAACCUGUCUUUGGACAAAAGAGGUAAACUUUGAACAUUUGUUUGAUUAAUCUUAUAGUUUUUAUGAUUUAUACAAUUUCAUUAUGUUCUAUGUUCUCAGCUCCAUUGGCAAAUCACCCCGGUUAGUUCAUUUGGAUGAUAAUUAAAAAAAAUAUGUUUUCAUAUGCUUUUAUUUGAGCUGAUAACAUAGUUAAGUAAAUAUCAUGACUAAUAACGAAAUUCGAUUUUGUUCACAUCUUCCACCGUAUUGUAAUCUGAAAAAUAGCUUCUUUUUAUUAUGCAUUAAUUGGAUUUCUUGUACCAAAACACCCUUAUCUUUUGGAUUGGACUAGAUGUAACGCCCGGGUUUUCAGGGCUAAGCAUUUUUGUCAAUGUAAUAGUCUAGGUCAACUAUUGUAACUCUUUUUGAAGUAAUAAAUAUAAAAUAUUUGAGUAUUAUGUGUGUUUAUGUGUUUAUUAUUUAAUUAUAAAUGUAUAAUUAAUAAAGAAUAAAAAUGAGCGUCAAAAUUAAAGUGUGAGAUAAUCCUGAUAUCUCUACAUAAAGUUGUAGAAUACGUCUCAAGGUUUCCGUACAUAUAAAGAAUGCCGAAAUCCGAGCUAUAACGAAGAAGUUAUGGCCCGCCGAAGUUUUA